GUUCGCCAUUUAAAGCGGUACGUGAGUUGGGUUAAUAACGUCGUGAGACAGUUAGGUCCCUAUCUACUGUGGGCGUUGGAUAUUUGAGCGAACUUGACCUUAGUACGAGAGGACCGGGUCGAACGAACCUCUGGUGUACCUGUUGUCGCGCCAGCGGCACCGCAGGGUAGCUAUGUUCGGAACAGAUAACCGCUGAAAGCAUCUAAGCGGGAAGCUGGUCGCAAGAUAAGAUAUCCCUAUGAGUUCAGUUCAAGACCAGGACAUUGAUAGGCGGUGGGUGUAAGCCUUGUGAGGGGUUUAGCCGAACCGUACUAAUCGAACCAUUGACUUUUUAUC
This 336-nucleotide ribosomal RNA is filed under the name Alphaproteobacteria bacterium. RNAcentral's name for it is "partial 23S ribosomal RNA". It matches the Rfam family "Bacterial large subunit ribosomal RNA", at positions 2579 to 2925 of the family's 2925-position model. Lineage: Bacteria; Pseudomonadati; Pseudomonadota; Alphaproteobacteria. The record is from RNAcentral.